Molecule: ribosomal RNA, 497 nt
Filed under: uncultured bacterium
Lineage: Bacteria
Description: partial 16S ribosomal RNA
Rfam family: Bacterial small subunit ribosomal RNA
Source: RNAcentral
GAUGAACGCUGGCGGCGUGCCUAAUACAUGCAAGUCGAGCGAACGGACGAGAAGCUUGCUUUUCUGAUGUUAGCGGCGGACGGGUGAGUAACACGUGGAUAACCUACCUAUAAGACUGGGAUAACUUCGGGAAACCGGCUCUAAUACCGGAUAAUAUUUUGAACCGCAUGGUUCAAAAGUGAAAGACGGUCUUUCUGUCACUUAUAGAUGGAUCCGCGCUGCAUUAGCUAGUUGGUAAGGUAACGGCUUACCAAGGCAACGAUGCAUAGCCGACCUGAGAGGGUGAUCGGCCACACUGGAACUGAGACACGGUCCAGACGCCUACGGGAGGCAGCAGUAGGGAAUCUUACGCAAUGGGCGAAAGCCUGACGGAGCAACGCCGCGUGAGUGAUGAAGGUCUUCGGAUCGUAAAACUCUGUUAUUAGGGAAGAACAUAUGUGUAAGUAACUGUGCACAUCGUGACGGUACCUAAUCAGAAAGCCACGGCUAACUACGUG